AGAGCCUUCGCAGCGGAACCAUGCCCAGCCCGGGGGGGCAAUUGCCUCCCCCCUAAAAAAAUUAAAACUUGUGUUAAAGGAUGGGUUUUUUAGUAAAUUGCCCCUCAACAGGUUAAAAAUUGAACGUUGUUUUUGGCAUUUCCGCCCGAUUCUUUUGCUCGAGACUCCGCCCGUGCGCCCUAGGUUCUCUUCUCUCCGCUUGACGCUUGAAUCCCGUCGAUCGUCGUGAGCUCGUCAAUCGGCAUUGCUGUUCGUGGUGCUCGUGGGUUUUCUCUGCGUUGAUCAAUCGCUUGCUCACUCGGAUUUGGAGGAGGCGAGAACUUCAUUUUUCUUCGGCAUCUCUGCGCUCAGUCGCUCACGCUCUGCAGGCUCCGGUCUGUACCUUCCCUUACCCGUCCCGGAGACUAUAUGAGAGGAUCACAAUCUUGAUUUUGUUCUCGGGCUACCAAGAACGCGGCGAGGGAUGUUAAAUUCAUCAGCCAUUUUUGGCGUGAAUUGUGGAAGAUACUCAAAACUGCUGUCAACUUGAGCUCAGCUUAUCAUCCGCAAUCCGACGGCCAAACCGAAGUGGUAAAUCGAACCUUGGGCAAUAUGUUGAGAUGUCUAGUACAAGAACAACCAAAGCUUUGGGAUGAACUGUUGAGCCAGGCGAAGUUCGCCUACAACAGCAUGACCAACCGUUCAACAGGUACUUCUCCUUUUCACAUUGUCUAUACAAAGCCACCUAAUCAUACAAUUGAUGUCGCCAUUCUUCCCAAAUGUCACAGCCGGCAAGCCGCUGAGUUAGUUGAUCAGUUCUCAUAAAUGCUCCAAAAUGUGCGACUCAAGUUGCUAUCAUCUAACGAAAAUUACAAACUGGCUGCUUAUACCAAUCGCCAAGAAAGAAUAUUCUAGCCGGGUGAAUUAGUGAUGAUCAAAUUGUGCCGUGAAAGGCUUCCCGCGGGCACAUACUCCAAAUUGGGAAGGCACAAAGUCGGUCCUUUUCCCAUUUUACAGAAGAUAAAUGACAACGCCUACGUCAUAGAUUUAUCAGCCGAAUUUGGAACAGCUUCUACGUUCAACGUCGUCGACAUACAUCCUUACUACCCAGCGAACGACGCACAGCAGCACCUUCGUCGGCGGGGGAGUCCUGAUGUGGAUCAUCAUAUAUUACAUAGCCCUCAGGGAGUAUUAUACCGGUUCUGUUAUGCUUUAGUCCUUUUGCUGCAUUAGCUAUUUCUCCACUAUUGUUUUUCCCUUUUUAGUACCUGGUAGUACUAGCUCACUUUUAGUUAUGCUUUGCUUUUAGUAGUACUUAGUUUAUAUAUAUACUGUAAUGCUUGGAGGAGAAAGGUAGACAAGAAAUAUAUCCAUUUAGCUUGCUGAUAAGCAUCCCCUGUUUUGUGAGUUACUGUUUCAUUCGUUGCUUGCUGAGAGCCCCCUCUUUCGAUUACCUACAUCACAAUCUUUUGUAAUCUGAUGUAUUUUUUAUGAUGAUGAUGAUGAGUGAUGAUUUUGAUGUUCAUGAGA
Long non-coding RNA from Dendrobium catenatum, 1509 nucleotides. RefSeq lists it as uncharacterized. The transcript has 3 exons. The record is from RefSeq and is a predicted model, not a curated record. Lineage: Eukaryota; Viridiplantae; Streptophyta; Magnoliopsida; Asparagales; Orchidaceae.